This 482-nucleotide ribosomal RNA is filed under the name uncultured bacterium. RNAcentral's name for it is "partial 16S ribosomal RNA". It matches the Rfam family "Bacterial small subunit ribosomal RNA", at positions 30 to 507 of the family's 1533-position model. The record is from RNAcentral.
AUUGAACGCUGGCGGCAUGCCUUACACAUGCAAGUCGAACGGUAACGGGCCUUCGGGUGCCGACGAGUGGCGAACGGGUGAGUAAUACAUCGGAACGUGCCCGAUCGUGGGGGAUAACGAGGCGAAAGCUUUGCUAAUACCGCAUACGAUCUACGGAUGAAAGCCGGGGACCGCAAGGCCUUGCGCGGACGGAGCGGCCGGUGGCCGAUUAGGUAGUUGGUGGGAUAAAAGCUUACCAAGCCGACGAUCUGGAGCUGGUCUGAGAGGAUGAUCAGCCACACUGGGACUGAGACACGGCCCAGACUCCUACGGGAGGCAGCAGUGGGGAAUUUUGGACAAUGGGCGCAAGCCUGAUCCAGCCAUGCCGCGUGCAGGAUGAAGGCCUUCGGGUUGUAAACUGCUUUUGUACGGAACGAAAAGCCUUCUUUUAAUACAGGGGGGUCAUGACGGUACCGUAAGAAUAAGCACCGGCUAACUACGUG